This 463-nucleotide ribosomal RNA is filed under the name uncultured bacterium. RNAcentral describes it as "SSU rRNA". It matches the Rfam family "Bacterial small subunit ribosomal RNA", at positions 26 to 518 of the family's 1533-position model. The record is from RNAcentral.
AGGAUUAACGCUGGCGACGUGCCUAACACAUGCAAGUCGAACGAGGUAGCAAUACCUAGUGGCAGACGGGUGAGUAACGCGUGGUCAACCUACCGUUGAGUGGGGGAUAACUAGCCGAAAGGUUAGCUAAUACCGCAUACGAGUCUCGGGGGCAUCCCUGGGCCUUAAAAGGAGCAAUCCGCUCGAUGACGGGACCGCGUCCCAUUAGCUAGAUGGUGGGGUAAUGGCCUACCAUGGCUCCGAUGGGUAGCUGGUUUGAGAGAGCGACCAGCCACACUGGGACUGAGAAACGGCCCAGACUCCUACGGGAGGCAGCAGUGAGGAAUUUUCCGCAAUGGGCGAAAGCCUGACGGAGCGACGCCGCGUGUGGGAAGAAGGCCUUCGGGUCGUAAACCACUGUCGAAGGGACGAUAAUGACGGUACCCUUGGAGGAAGCCCCGGCUAACUACGCGCCAGCAGCCGC